UGAAUACGAGACGCUAAGGCGUCGAAGUAGUGUAUGUCAUACUUCCAAGAAAAGCUUGCUCUGUCAUAGAUAAAAAACGCCUGUACCAUAACCGACACAGGUGGGUAGGUAGAGUAUACUAAGGGGCGCGAGAUAACUCUCUCUAAGGAACUCGGCAAAAUAACUCCGUAACUUCGGGAGAAGGAGUGCCUUAUUCGUAAGGUUCAAUAACAAGAUCCAAGCAACUGUUUAUCAAAAACACAGGUCUCCGCUAAGUCGUAAGACGAUGUAUGGGGGCUGACGCCUGCCCAGUGCCAGAAGGUUAAAGAAGUUGGUUAGCAAUUGCGAAGCUGAUAACUGAAGCCCUGGUGAACGGCGGCCGUAACAAUAACGGUCCUAAGGUAGCGAAAUUCCUUGUCGGGUAAGUUCCGACCCGCACGAAAGGCGUAAUGAUUUGGAUACUGUCUCGGAGAGGGGCUCGGUGAAAUAGACUUGUCUGUGAAGAUGCGGACUACCUGCACCAGGACAGAAAGACCCUAUGAAGCUUUACUGUAACUUGAAAUUGAAAUUGGACUUUAUUCGCGCAGUAUAGGUGGGAGGCGUUGAUUAUAAUCUUGUGGGAUUAUUGGAGCCAUCAGUGAGAUACCACUCUUGUAAUGUUAGAUUUCUAACUUUGAAUCAUUAUCUGGUCAAAGAACAGUUUCAGGCGGGCAGUUUGACUGGGGCGGUCGCCUCCUAAACGGUAACGGAGGCGUACAAAGGUUUCCUCUGAACGGUUAGAAAUCGUAUCUAGAGUGUAAAGGCAUAAGGAAGCUUGACUGUGAGACCUACAAGUCGAGCAGGGACGAAAGUCGGUCUUAGUGAUCUGACGGUACUGAGUGGAAAGGCCGUCACUCAACGGAUAAAAGUUACUCUAAGGAUAACAGGCUGAUCUCCCCCAAGAGUUCACAUCGACGGGGAGGUUUGGCACCUCGAUGUCGGCUCAUCGCAUCCUGGGGCGGUAGUACGUCCCAAGGGUUGGGCUGUUCGCCCAUGAAAGCGGUACGCGAGCUGGGUUCAGAACGUCGUGAGACAGUUCGGUCCAUAUCCGGUGUAGGCGUUAGAAUAUUGAGAGGAGCCUUCUUUAGUACGAGAGGACCGAGAAGGACAUACCCCUGGUGUACCAGUUAUCGUGCCAACGGUAAACGCUGGGUAGCUAUGUAUGGAGUGGAUAACCGCUGAAAGCAUCUAAGUGGGAAGCCCACCUCAAGAUAAGUAUUCUCAUC
This 1244-nucleotide ribosomal RNA is filed under the name metagenome. RNAcentral describes it as "bacterial LSU rRNA". It matches the Rfam family "Bacterial large subunit ribosomal RNA", at positions 1564 to 2818 of the family's 2925-position model. The record is from RNAcentral.